RNAcentral lists this ribosomal RNA (253 nucleotides) under uncultured bacterium. RNAcentral describes it as "partial 16S ribosomal RNA". It matches the Rfam family "Bacterial small subunit ribosomal RNA", at positions 524 to 776 of the family's 1533-position model. RNAcentral also lists the same sequence under 1 other name. The record is from RNAcentral.
UACGUAGGGGGCUAGCGUUGUCCGGAAUCAUUGGGCGUAAAGAGCGUGUAGGCGGUCCGGUAAGUCCGCUGUGAAAGUCGGGGGCUCAACCCUCGAAUGCCGGUGGAUACUGUCGGGCUUGAGUACGGAAGAGGCGAGUGGAAUUCCUGGUGUAGCGGUGAAAUGCGCAGAUAUCAGGAGGAACACCUAUUGCGAAGGCAGCUCGCUGGGACGUUACUGACGCUGAGACGCGAAAGCGUGGGGAGCAAACAGG